Molecule: ribosomal RNA, 2017 nt
Filed under: Staphylococcus aureus
Lineage: Bacteria; Bacillati; Bacillota; Bacilli; Caryophanales; Staphylococcaceae
Description: partial 23S ribosomal RNA
Rfam family: Bacterial large subunit ribosomal RNA
Source: RNAcentral
GAACCAGUACCGUGAGGGAAAGGUGAAAAGCACCCCGGAAGGGGAGUGAAAUAGAACCUGAAACCGUGUGCUUACAAGUAGUCAGAGCCCGUUAAUGGGUGAUGGCGUGCCUUUUGUAGAAUGAACCGGCGAGUUACGAUUUGAUGCAAGGUUAAGCAGUAAAUGUGGAGCCGUAGCGAAAGCGAGUCUGAAUAGGGCGUUUAGUAUUUGGUCGUAGACCCGAAACCAGGUGAUCUACCCUUGGUCAGGUUGAAGUUCAGGUAACACUGAAUGGAGGACCGAACCGACUUACGUUGAAAAGUGAGCGGAUGAACUGAGGGUAGCGGAGAAAUUCCAAUCGAACCUGGAGAUAGCUGGUUCUCUCCGAAAUAGCUUUAGGGCUAGCCUCAAGUGAUGAUUAUUGGAGGUAGAGCACUGUUUGGACGAGGGGCCCCUCUCGGGUUACCGAAUUCAGACAAACUCCGAAUGCCAAUUAAUUUAACUUGGGAGUCAGAACAUGGGUGAUAAGGUCCGUGUUCGAAAGGGAAACAGCCCAGACCACCAGCUAAGGUCCCAAAAUAUAUGUUAAGUGGAAAAGGAUGUGGCGUUGCCCAGACAACUAGGAUGUUGGCUUAGAAGCAGCCAUCAUUUAAAGAGUGCGUAAUAGCUCACUAGUCGAGUGACACUGCGCCGAAAAUGUACCGGGGCUAAACAUAUUACCGAAGCUGUGGAUUGUCCUUUGGACAAUGGUAGGAGAGCGUUCUAAGGGCGUUGAAGCAUGAUCGUAAGGACAUGUGGAGCGCUUAGAAGUGAGAAUGCCGGUGUGAGUAGCGAAAGACGGGUGAGAAUCCCGUCCACCGAUUGACUAAGGUUUCCAGAGGAAGGCUCGUCCGCUCUGGGUUAGUCGGGUCCUAAGCUGAGGCCGACAGGCGUAGGCGAUGGAUAACAGGUUGAUAUUCCUGUACCACCUAUAAUCGUUUUAAUCGAUGGGGGGACGCAGUAGGAUAGGCGAAGCGUGCGAUUGGAUUGCACGUCUAAGCAGUAAGGCUGAGUAUUAGGCAAAUCCGGUACUCAUUAAGGCUGAGCUGUGAUGGGGAGAAGACAUUGUGUCUUCGAGUCGUUGAUUUCACACUGCCGAGAAAAGCCUCUAGAUAGAAAAUAGGUGCCCGUACCGCAAACCGACACAGGUAGUCAAGAUGAGAAUUCUAAGGUGAGCGAGCGAACUCUCGUUAAGGAACUCGGCAAAAUGACCCCGUAACUUCGGGAGAAGGGGUGCUCUUUAGGGUUAACGCCCAGAAGAGCCGCAGUGAAUAGGCCCAAGCGACUGUUUAUCAAAAACACAGGUCUCUGCUAAACCGUAAGGUGAUGUAUAGGGGCUGACGCCUGCCCGGUGCUGGAAGGUUAAGAGGAGUGGUUAGCUUCUGCGAAGCUACGAAUCGAAGCCCCAGUAAACGGCGGCCGUAACUAUAACGGUCCUAAGGUAGCGAAAUUCCUUGUCGGGUAAGUUCCGACCCGCACGAAAGGCGUAACGAUUUGGGCACUGUCUCAACGAGAGACUCGGUGAAAUCAUAGUACCUGUGAAGAUGCAGGUUACCCGCGACAGGACGGAAAGACCCCGUGGAGCUUUACUGUAGCCUGAUAUUGAAAUUCGGCACAGCUUGUACAGGAUAGGUAGGAGCCUUUGAAACGUGAGCGCUAGCUUACGUGGAGGCGCUGGUGGGAUACUACCCUAGCUGUGUUGGCUUUCUAACCCGCACCACUUAUCGUGGUGGGAGACAGUGUCAGGCGGGCAGUUUGACUGGGGCGGUCGCCUCCUAAAAGGUAACGGAGGCGCUCAAAGGUUCCCUCAGAAUGGUUGGAAAUCAUUCAUAGAGUGUAAAGGCAUAAGGGAGCUUGACUGCGAGACCUACAAGUCGAGCAGGGUCGAAAGACGGACUUAGUGAUCCGGUGGUUCCGCAUGGAAGGGCCAUCGCUCAACGGAUAAAAGCCUGUCUCUUAUACACAUCUCCGAGCCCACGAGACGGAGCUACAUCUCGUA